RNAcentral lists this RNase P RNA (402 nucleotides) under Bacillota bacterium. RNAcentral describes it as "Firmicutes bacterium (anaerobic digester metagenome) RNase P RNA component class A". It matches the Rfam family "Bacterial RNase P class A". From Rfam's summary of the family: Ribonuclease P (RNase P) is a ubiquitous endoribonuclease, found in archaea, bacteria and eukarya as well as chloroplasts and mitochondria. Its best characterised activity is the generation of mature 5'-ends of tRNAs by cleaving the 5'-leader elements of precursor-tRNAs. Cellular RNase Ps are ribonucleoproteins. Lineage: Bacteria; Bacillati; Bacillota. The record is from RNAcentral.
CAACCGAAUCGGGUAACCGCGGGCGCGAGACCGAAAGGGAACGCCUGAGGAAAGUCCGAGCUCCGUAGGGCAGAGUGCUGGAUAACGUCCAGUGAGGGUGACCUUAAGGCUAGUGCCACAGAAAAGGAAACGCCUACUGGCAGCAGUGAUGCUGGUCCAUGGCAAAGCUGAAAAGGUGCGGUAAGAGCGCACCAGCGGUUGAGUGAUCAACCGGCUUGGUAAACCCCACUCGGAGCAAGACCGAAUAGGAGGGGGCGUCCUUUGGCGGACGCGAGAAUGGCCCGUUCUUCCCUCGGGUACGGUCGCUUGAGGCGGCAGGUAACUGUCGUCCCAGAUAAAUGGUUACCACUGAUUGUGCAUACACAAUCAGCACAGAACUCGGCUUAUAGAUUCGGUUGGUCA